GUCCGUAUGGCUCAGCGGAAGAGCGUCCCCUUCACACGGGGAAGGUCCCAGGUUCAAUUCCUGGUACGGGCAC
This 73-nucleotide transfer RNA is filed under the name Paractinoplanes abujensis. RNAcentral's name for it is "tRNA-Val". It matches the Rfam family "tRNA". Rfam says of the family: Transfer RNA (tRNA) molecules are approximately 80 nucleotides in length. Their secondary structure includes four short double-helical elements and three loops (D, anti-codon, and T loops). Lineage: Bacteria; Bacillati; Actinomycetota; Actinomycetes; Micromonosporales; Micromonosporaceae. The record is from RNAcentral.